RNAcentral lists this ribosomal RNA (402 nucleotides) under bacterium. RNAcentral describes it as "partial 16S ribosomal RNA". It matches the Rfam family "Bacterial small subunit ribosomal RNA", at positions 355 to 776 of the family's 1533-position model. The record is from RNAcentral.
UGGGGAAUUUUGCACAAUGGGGGAAACCCUGAUGCAGCGACGCCGCGUGAUUUAGAAGGCCUUCGGGUUGUAAAAAUCUUUUCUAUGGGAAGAAAAUGACAGUACCAUAGGAAUAAGGACCGGCUAAUUACGUGCCAGCAGCCGCGGUAAUACGUAAGGUCCGAGCGUUGUCCGGAAUCAUUGGGCGUAAAGGGUACGUAGGCGGGUAAGCAAGUUAGAAGUGAAAUCCUAUAGCUCAACUAUAGUAAGCUUUUAAAACUGCUCAUCUUGAGGUAUGGAAGGGAAAGUGGAAUUCCUAGUGUAGCGGUGAAAUGCGCAGAUAUUAGGAGGAAUACCGGUGGCGAGGGCGACUUUCUGGCCAUAACCUGACGCUGAUGUACGAAAGCGUGGGUAGCAAACAGG